Molecule: ribosomal RNA, 253 nt
Filed under: uncultured bacterium
Lineage: Bacteria
Also listed under: 1 other name
Description: partial 16S ribosomal RNA
Rfam family: Bacterial small subunit ribosomal RNA
Source: RNAcentral
UACAGAGGGUGCAAGCGUUAAUCGGAAUUACUGGGCGUAAAGCGCACGCAGGCGGUUGGUUAAGUCAGAUGUGAAAGCCCCGGGCUCAACCUGGGAAUUGCAUUUGAAACUGGCCAACUAGAGUACGUGAGAGGGGGGUAGAAUUCCAAGUGUAGCGGUGAAAUGCGUAGAGAUUUGGAGGAAUACCAGUGGCGAAGGCGGCCCCCUGGCACGAUACUGACGCUCAGGUGCGAAAGCGUGGGGAGCAAACAGG